UCGGCAAAGCAGAUGUGACUUCUGCUUCUACGCCGUAAGGCCACUUUUUGUUUGUUUGUGAUUAGCGAUUUAGUUGUGGCUGGGAAUGGGAGGAGAUGGAGAGGGAGUUAGGAUUUUCGGAAGGUUGUGAAAUGGGUUUCUGAUUAUUCCUCCCUCUCCUCGUCUUCUUCAUCGAUCACAUGAGCUUUCAACUUUUAUGGAGGUCAAGUGGUGAUUGGGGAUUUCAUCAAAUUUAUCAGCAAAAUUGCAUAACCAUCAGCUUGUAGCAGCAAUUUCUCAGCCGUUUUCUUUUGGGACAGGGUUUGUUUCGCAUCCCUCUUUACUUGUUACUGUUUAUGCGAAUAAUUAUAUAAAAAUAAAUAAUUACCUAAAUAAGCUUAUAUGGUUAUCAACAAGACCCAACAGCCCACUAAAAAAGUUUUGCUACAUCAACUCCAACCCAAAACCCUAUCAACCUGAAUCCUUUAUUAUUUCAUUUAUAUUUUAAAGUUGAUUCCGCUUAAUCAAUGAAGUUUGAAGUUAUU
Hevea brasiliensis (rubber tree) is the source of this 524-nucleotide long non-coding RNA. RefSeq lists it as uncharacterized. NCBI's taxonomy places the organism in Eukaryota, Viridiplantae, Streptophyta, Magnoliopsida, Malpighiales, Euphorbiaceae. The record is from RefSeq and is a predicted model, not a curated record. The transcript has 2 exons.